GACGAACGCUGGCGGCGUGCCUACUACAUGCAAGUCGAGCGCGCGCUCAUUUAUGAGUGGCGAGCGGCGGACGGGUGAGUAACACGUGGGCAACCUACCCAAAAGACGGGGAUCACCCUUGGAAACGAGGGUCAAUACCGGAUAAGCCUCUUUGGUCGCAUGGCUAGAGAGGGAAAGGUGCUUUGCACUGUUUUUGGAAGGGCCCGCGGCGCAUUAGCUAGUUGGUGGGGUAAUGGCUCACCAAGGCUACGAUGCGUAACCGGCCUGAGAGGGUGGACGGUCACACUGGGACUGAGACACGGCCCAGACUCCUACGGGAGGCAG
Molecule: ribosomal RNA, 324 nt
Filed under: uncultured Bacillota bacterium
Lineage: Bacteria; Bacillati; Bacillota
Description: bacterial SSU rRNA
Rfam family: Bacterial small subunit ribosomal RNA
Source: RNAcentral